Molecule: ribosomal RNA, 1446 nt
Filed under: Triticum aestivum (bread wheat)
Lineage: Eukaryota; Viridiplantae; Streptophyta; Magnoliopsida; Poales; Poaceae
Description: partial small subunit ribosomal RNA
Source: RNAcentral
AUGGCGGCGUCGGCGGCGGCGGUGAUGGAGGAGCUGCGGGGUAGCUUCAGAGAGGGGCGGACGCGGCCGGCCGAGUGGCGGACGGCGCAGCUCAGGGCGCUCGUCAGGAUGAUCGAGGAGAAGGAGGACGACAUCAGCAACGCGCUCCACGCCGACCUCGCCAAGCCGCGCAUGGAGGCCUACCUCCACGAGAUAUCGCUGGCGAAAGGGGCCUGUAUGUUUGCCUUGAAGGGGCUCAAGAAUUGGAUGAAGCCCGACAAGGUACCUUCUGCCAUAACUACAUUCCCAUCCACUGCUCAAAUCGUGCCGGAGCCCCUGGGUGUCGUUCUCGUCAUAUCAGCCUGGAACUAUCCUUUCUUGCUAUCCAUCGAGCCCGUCAUUGGAGCAAUUGCUGCUGGGAAUGCUGUUGUGCUGAAGCCAUCAGAAAUUGCGCCAGCAACAUCGUCAUUGUUCGCGAAGCUGCUACCAGAGUACGUUGAUAGCUCGUGUAUAAAAGUUGUGGAGGGAGGUGUCACUGAAACAGGUGCACUCUUAGAACAAAAAUGGGAUAAGAUCUUCUACACAGGAAAUGGUAAUGUAGCCCGCGUAGUGUUGGCAGCAGCUGCGAAGCAUCUAACCCCUGUUGCUCUGGAGCUCGGUGGAAAAUGCCCUGUUAUUGUUGACUCUAACGUCGAUUUGCAUGUUGCUGCUAAGAGGAUUGCUGUUGGUAAAUGGGGCUGUAACAAUGGCCAGGCAUGCAUUGCUCCCGAUUACAUCAUAACGACAAAAGCGUUCGUUACAGAGCUGGUUGACUCUUUGAAAAGAGUCUUGGAAAGGUUCUACGGGGAGGAUCCGUUGCAAUCGGCGGACCUGUCUCGUAUUGUGAAUAUUAGCCAUUUCGGACGAUUAACGAAGUUGAUAGACGACAAAGAAGUUGCCACCAAGAUUCAGCUCGGUGGCCAGACAGAUCAGGAGCAACUAAAAAUAGCUCCUACGGUGUUGGUAGAUGUUCCUCUUGAUACAGCACUUAUGACAGGGGAAAUAUUUGGCCCAUUGCUUCCAAUUAUAACGGUCGACAAGAUUGAAGAAAGCAUCGCACACAUCAACGCUGGGGCGAAGCCACUCGCAGCCUACCUCUUCACCAAGGACAAGAAACUGCAACAAGAUUUCGUCUCAAACGUCUCGGCAGGAGGCAUGCUCGUCAACGACGUCGCCUUACACCUGACGAACCCACAUUUGCCGUUCGGUGGCGUGGGCGACAGCGGCAUGGGGUCGUACCACGGCAAGUUCAGCUUCGACUGCUUCACCCACAGAAAGGCGGUGCUGAUCCGCGGGUUCGGUGGCGAGGCGAAUGCAAGGUACCCGCCCUACACAGCAGAGAAGCAGAGGAUCUUGAGGGGCCUCAUCAAGGGCAGCUUCUUUGCGCUGAUCCUUGCGCUUCUGGGGUUCCCGAGGGAGAAGCGUUAG